CCCUCAUGGGUUAAAACAGAAAUUGGUCGGUAGAAUUUAAAAAACCAAAUCUCAAGAAAGCCACACCAUAAACGGGUAGUCAGGAGAGUGACGGCAUUCGCCAGAGGAUUAAAAAUAUUGUAAACAAGAAUGGAACUUCCACUGGGACUGACUCACAAUACAUACAUCAUGUAGUCAGCUGUGACAAGUACUGGAAUGAUGUGUAUUGUUUAGAGUAAACUCAAUAAUAUGAUUUUUGUCACAACGUU
Long non-coding RNA from Aplysia californica (California sea hare), 248 nucleotides. RefSeq lists it as uncharacterized. The transcript has 2 exons. Lineage: Eukaryota; Metazoa; Mollusca; Gastropoda; Aplysiida; Aplysiidae. The record is from RefSeq and is a predicted model, not a curated record.